RNAcentral lists this unclassified non-coding RNA (345 nucleotides) under soil metagenome. RNAcentral's name for it is "partial contains 5.8S ribosomal RNA, internal transcribed spacer 2, and large subunit ribosomal RNA". The stretch from base 1 to 120 matches the Rfam family "5.8S ribosomal RNA", at positions 35 to 154 of the family's 154-position model. The record is from RNAcentral.
GAUGAAGAACGUAGCGAAAUGCGAUACGUAAUGUGAAUUGCAGAAUUCAGUGAAUCAUCGAGUCUUUGAACGCACAUUGCGCCCCCUGGUAUUCCGGGGGGCAUGCCUGUCCGAGCGUCAUUGCUGCCCUCAAGCACGGCUUGUGUGUUGGGCCUCCGUCCUCCUCCCGGGGGACGGGCCCGAAAGGCAGCGGCGGCACCGCGUCCGGUCCUCGAGCGUAUGGGGCUUCGUCACCCGCUCUUGUAGGCCCGGCCGGCGCUUGCCGACACAUCAAUCUUUUUUCCAGGUUGACCUCGGAUCAGGGAGGGAUACCCGCUGAACUUAAGCAUAUCAAUAAGCGGAGGA